RNAcentral lists this ribosomal RNA (496 nucleotides) under uncultured bacterium. RNAcentral's name for it is "partial 16S ribosomal RNA". It matches the Rfam family "Bacterial small subunit ribosomal RNA", at positions 29 to 507 of the family's 1533-position model. The record is from RNAcentral.
AUGCACGCUGGCGGCGUGCCUCAUCCCUGCAAGUCGAGCGAACGGACGAGAAGCUUGCUUCUCUGAUGUUAGCGGCGGACGGGUGAGUAACACGUGGAUAACCUACCUAUAAGACUGGGAUAACUUCGGGAAACCGGAGCUAAUACCGGAUGAUAUUUUGAACCGCAUGGUUCAAAAGUGAAAGACGGUCUUGCUGUCACUUAUAGAUGGAUCCGCGCUGCAUUAGCUAGUUGGUAAGGUAACGGCUUACCAAGGCAACGAUGCAUAGCCGACCUGAGAGGGUGAUCGGCCACACUGGAACUGAGACACGGUCCAGACUCCUACGGGAGGCAGCAGUAGGGAAUCUUCCGCAAUGGGCGAAAGCCUGACGGAGCAACGCCGCGUGAGUGAUGAAGGUCUUCGGAUCGUAAAACUCUGUUAUUAGGGAAGAACAUAUGUGUAAGUAACUGUGCACAUCUUGACGGUACCUAAUCAGAAAGCCACGGCUAACUACGUG